GAACGGGUCCCAUGCGACUCACGUUUUCGAACCCUGUCAGGGGCGGAAGCCAGCAGCAGUAAGGGAGCCUCUGAGAGCGCCGUGGCCCACCCGUCUCCG
RNAcentral lists this signal recognition particle RNA (99 nucleotides) under Ktedonobacterales bacterium. RNAcentral describes it as "signal recognition particle sRNA small type". It matches the Rfam family "Bacterial small signal recognition particle RNA". From Rfam's summary of the family: The signal recognition particle (SRP) is a universally conserved ribonucleoprotein involved in the co-translational targeting of proteins to membranes. Archaeal SRP consists of a 7S RNA and homologues of the eukaryotic SRP19 and SRP54 proteins. In most bacteria, the SRP consists of a 4.5S RNA and the Ffh protein (a homologue of the eukaryotic SRP54 protein). Lineage: Bacteria; Bacillati; Chloroflexota; Ktedonobacteria; Ktedonobacterales. The record is from RNAcentral.